CCGCCUGCAAAGUGACUUGAGAGCCCCGCGACGCAGCCUUCUAGAGGAGCAGGGACUUCUCUGGAACACUGGCGUGCGCAGGGAUUAAUCCCACCGUAGAGAGCCAGCCUGGGCUUUGAAGUGUUACAAGGGGAGGGAGGAGUCACAUUGCAGGCCAAGCCAGAUGGGCAAGCAAUACAAGCUGUGAAUUUAUUCUUGACCCCGUAGGACAGUGACCACCAUCAUUUUUUUCUUCACCCUACAGUUAUGCACUGCCAAUAAGUGAAAAGGUCAAGAGAAGCAGUAGUUCAGUGGCUGAAUUUUUCUGAAGUGCUUUACAGCAGGGAAGGUGGGGAAACCUCUUAAAUAAAGUGGUGUCUUAUUCAAUCCUGGAGCACAGGCCAAGGGUUUUAAUGCAAAAUACCAGAAAAAAAAGUCUGCAACAUCUCCUGUGAGUGGGGGAAGAAAAUAAGAUUAACAAUUGCAUCUUGAAACACUCAUAAUUUGAGGUAAGUGAUUGGAGGGUCUUGUCAUAAGUUACAGUUAGUUUGUAAUUAAAUUAAUCAUUAUUUACCUUGGAGUGUCAUGAUAUUGUUGUUGAAGGCAAUAAAAACAGGCAGGAGAGAGAGG
RNAcentral lists this long non-coding RNA (609 nucleotides) under Serinus canaria (Common canary). Its description in RNAcentral is "lncRNA (ENSSCAG00000000548.1)". Lineage: Eukaryota; Metazoa; Chordata; Aves; Passeriformes; Fringillidae. The record is from RNAcentral.